Molecule: non-coding RNA, 23 nt
Filed under: Mus musculus (house mouse)
Lineage: Eukaryota; Metazoa; Chordata; Mammalia; Rodentia; Muridae
Source: RNAcentral
UGAAGUCUUGUAGAUAUGCCAAA